Molecule: unclassified non-coding RNA, 324 nt
Filed under: uncultured fungus
Lineage: Eukaryota; Fungi
Description: partial contains 5.8S ribosomal RNA and internal transcribed spacer 2
Rfam family: 5.8S ribosomal RNA (bases 1-133)
Source: RNAcentral
UGGUUCUGGCAUCGAUGAAGAACGCAGCGAAAUGCGAUAAGUAAUGUGAAUUGCAGAAUUCAGUGAAUCAUCGAAUCUUUGAACGCACAUUGCGCCCCUUGGUAUUCCGGGGGGCAUGCCUGUUCGAGCGUCAUUUCAACCCUCAAGCAAAAAAAAGCUUGGUCUUGGGCAUUGCCGUGGACGGCUUGCCUUAAAAUCAGUGGCGGCGCCAUUCGGCUCUACGCGUAGUAAUUAACCCUCGCGAUUGAGACUUGCGUGGAUGCUUGCCAUCGUAACACCCAAUUUUUUAUGGUUGACCUCGGAUCAGGUAGGGAUACCCGCUGA